Molecule: ribosomal RNA, 253 nt
Filed under: uncultured bacterium
Lineage: Bacteria
Description: partial 16S ribosomal RNA
Rfam family: Bacterial small subunit ribosomal RNA
Source: RNAcentral
UACGUAGGGUGCGAGCGUUAAUCGGAAUUACUGGGCGUAAAGCGUGCGCAGGCUGUUUUGUAAGUCAGAUGUGAAAUCCCCGAGCUCAACUUGGGAACUGCGUUUGAAACUAGCGAGCUUGAGUGUGGCAGAGGGGGGUGGAAUUCCACGUGUAGCAGUGAAAUGCGUAGAGAUGUGGAGGAACACCGAUGGCGAAGGCAGCCCCCUGGGUCAACACUGACGCUCAUGCACGAAAGCGUGGGGAGCAAACAGG